CCUACGGGAGGCAGCAGUGGGGAAUAUUGCACAAUGGGGGAAACCCUGAUGCAGCGACGCCGCGUGAGUGAAGAAGUAUUUCGGUAUGUAAAGCUCUAUCAGCAGGGAAGAAGAAAGACGGUACCUGACUAAGAAGCCCCGGCUAACUACGUGCCAGCAGCCGCGGUAAUACGUAGGGGGCAAGCGUUAUCCGGAUUUACUGGGUGUAAAGGGAGCGUAGACGGCUGUGCAAGUCUGAAGUGAAAGCCCAGGGCUCAACCCUGGGACUGCUUUGGAAACUGUGGAGCUAGAGUGCUGGAGAGGCAGGCGGAAUUCCCAGUGUAGCGGUGAAAUGCGUAGAUAUUGGGAGGAACACCAGUGGCGAAGGCGGCCUGCUGGACAUUAACUGACGCUGAGGCGCGAAAGCGUGGGGAGCAAACAGGAUUAGAUACCCGGGUAGUC
This 441-nucleotide ribosomal RNA is filed under the name uncultured bacterium. RNAcentral's name for it is "partial 16S ribosomal RNA". It matches the Rfam family "Bacterial small subunit ribosomal RNA", at positions 338 to 795 of the family's 1533-position model. The record is from RNAcentral.